AUGGCUAAAAAGAUGGGUGAUUUUGAGAUCUGGAAAGCAAGAGAUGUCAAUACUUCUAUUCUAGUGAGGACUCAAAGGUUGAAGCAAGCAAAAGAUGAGGCUGAGAAAGAGGCAGCUCAAUAUAGAACUCACAUGGAAGAAGAAUAUCAAAAGUCAAUUUCAGAGACAACUGGGAAUUCAGGAACAAAUGUAAAAAGGCUUGAUCAAGAGACAGAUGCUAAGAUUAAAACCUUAAAGAAAUCAGGUUCAAAGGUUUCAAAUGAAGUUGUUGAUAUGCUACUCAAGCAUGUUACAAAUAUUAAAAUGUAA
Vicia faba (fava bean) is the source of this 309-nucleotide non-coding RNA. The record is from the annotation of a GenBank genome assembly. Lineage: Eukaryota; Viridiplantae; Streptophyta; Magnoliopsida; Fabales; Fabaceae.